RNAcentral lists this ribosomal RNA (371 nucleotides) under uncultured organism. Its description in RNAcentral is "partial 16S ribosomal RNA". It matches the Rfam family "Bacterial small subunit ribosomal RNA", at positions 527 to 896 of the family's 1533-position model. The record is from RNAcentral.
GUAGGUGGCAAGCGUUGUCCGGAAUUAUUGGGCGUAAAGCGCGCGCAGGCGGUUCUUUAAGUCUGAUGUGAAAGCCCACGGCUCAACCGUGGAGGGUCAUUGGAAACUGGAGAACUUGAGUACAGAAGAGGAAAGCGGAAUUCCACGUGUAGCGGUGAAAUGCGUAGAGAUGUGGAGGAACACCAGUGGCGAAGGCGGCUUUCUGGUCUGUAACUGACGCUGAGGCGCGAAAGCGUGGGGGAGCAAACAGGAUUAGAUACCCUGGUAGUCCACGCCGUAAACGAUGAGUGCUAAGUGUUAGGGGGUUUCCGCCCCUUAGUGCUGCAGCUAACGCAUUAAGCACUCCGCCUGGGAGUACGGCCGUAAGGCUG